AUGGCGGGGAGGACGAGGUACGACAACCCUUUCGAGGAGAGCGGUGGCGACGAGGUCAACCCUUUCGCGGACAAGGCUACAAGAGAAGCACUGGCUGCUCAAUCCGGUUAUUCCGGCGGUUCACUCUAUGCAACGCAACCACGGCCUAGUCCUCCUAGCAGCACCCGCCUUUCGCCUCUUCCUCCAGAGCCAGCUGACUUCUACAAUGACUUUGCCUCCACACACACAAACAAGGACAUGAAGAUAAUGGAGAAGGAGCUUCUGGCGAAGGAGGCUGAGUUAAGCAGGCGAGAGAAGGAAAUUAGAAGAAGGGAAGAAGCUGCAGCACGAGCUGGCGUUGUCAUAGAAGAGAAAAAUUGGCCUCCAUUUUUUCCCAUCAUUCAUCAUGAUAUCAAUAAUGAGAUACCCGUGCAUCUUCAAAGAACACAAUAUGUUGCCUUUGCAUCACUUUUGGGAUUGAUCAUUUUCCUAUUUUGGAACAUCGUCUGUGUUACCGCUGCUUGGAUUAAAGGGGAAGGUCCCAAGAUCUGGUUUCUUGCGGUCAUCUACUUUAUUCUUGGUUGCCCAGGUGCCUACUAUCUGUGGUACCGACCACUUUACCGGGCCAUGAGGAAUGAUAGUGCUUUGAAAUUUGGAUGGUUUUUUCUAUUUUACUUGGUUCAUAUUGCUUUCUGUGUGUAUGCAGCUAUUUCUCCUUCAAUUCUGUUUGUGGGAAAAUCACUAACAGGGAUUUUCCCAUCGAUCAGCUUGAUAGGGAAGAGCGUCAUAGUGGGGGUGUUCUACUUUCUUGGCUUCGCAAUGUUUUUCCUCGAGUCAUCACUAAGCAUGUGGGUCAUUCAGCGCGUGUAUCACUAUUUUCGAGGAAGUGGGAAAGAAGCACAUAUGAGGCAUGAGGCAGCACGCGCCACAGCUAGGGCAGCAUUUUGA
This 927-nucleotide ribosomal RNA is filed under the name Triticum aestivum (bread wheat). RNAcentral describes it as "partial small subunit ribosomal RNA". Lineage: Eukaryota; Viridiplantae; Streptophyta; Magnoliopsida; Poales; Poaceae. The record is from RNAcentral.